CGGAGCGUGGCGCAGCUAGGUAGCGCACUUGACUGGGGGUCAAGGGGUCGUGAGUUCAAAUCUCGCCGCUCCGA
Molecule: transfer RNA, 74 nt
Filed under: Fidelibacterota bacterium
Lineage: Bacteria; Pseudomonadati; Fidelibacterota
Description: tRNA-Pro
Rfam family: tRNA
About the family: Transfer RNA (tRNA) molecules are approximately 80 nucleotides in length. Their secondary structure includes four short double-helical elements and three loops (D, anti-codon, and T loops).
Source: RNAcentral